GUAAGCGGGACCAGCAAGGAGUCUGGUGGGGAAGCAGACAAACCCCUUAAUCACACAUGGCCCUGCACAAGCCACUUCAGAUGCAGAAUAAAGAGUACACAAGCGUGUGCAACAGAGGCUCAUGUCAGAAAGCCAUGCCCUGGGCCUUGCACGUCACUCCCCAGCAGGGUGCCCAGAAAAUGCCACUGGGAAAUGGAGGCCUUUGGGGUACCUGACAAGCUAGAGCUGUGGGUUGCUGUUUUCGUUUGUUUGUUUUUGUCUAACUCACCUUGUUUUCAGGAAGACUUGCAGCUUAAUAAGGAGGCUUUACAUGGGAACCCAAAGGCUACUGGGUGCAGAAGGGUGGGAAACCAGAUGGACUUGGUUGAAUUCAGGUCUGCCACUUGGUGGCCUUGCGGCCGUGGACACCAUGGGUAACUUCUCUGAGCCUCAGUUUUUUUGUCUGAAAAUGAGGAUAGUCCUGCGGUAUUACUGUAAUAAUUAAAUGAAAUCAAAGGUGCCAGGCUAACUAGCGAACUCUCUGUUGGCACACUUCUUUCCUGAGUGCCUGCAGUGUGCCUGGCUCUGGACAGCAGGGAACAAAGCACUCUGGGGGGUUGCGGAGAGAGUACAGAACAUCAGCUUGUGAACCCCGAAUAUCUGAGACAGGUCUCAGUUAAUUUAGAAAGUUUAUUUUUGCCAAGGUUGAGGAUGCACGCCCGUGACACAGCCUCAGGAGGUCCUGAUGACACAUGCCCAAGGUGGUCAGAGCACAGUUUGGUUUUAUAUAUUUUAGGGAGAUACAUCAAUCAACAUAUGUAAGAUGUACAUUGGUUCAGUCCGGAAAGGCGGGACAACUCGAAGCGGGAGGUGGCUUCCAGGUCAUAGGUAGAUAAAAGGCAAAUGGUUGCAUUCUUUUGAGUUUGUGAUGAGCCUCUCCAAAGGAGGCAAUCAGAUAUGCAUUUAUUUCAUUGAGCAGAGGGGUGACUUUGAAUAGAAGGGGAGGCAGGUUGGCACUAAGCAGUUCCCAGCUUGACUUUUCCCUUUAGUGAUUUUGGGUCCCUCAGAUUUAUUCUUCUCUCACAAACCAGAAGACAAACUGCCACAGAGUGAUGAGCACCCUGGAGAACUGGAAUUGGGCCACACAGGCCAGCACCAGGUAGUGAGUGAGUUCUGGCUCUAAGAGUUCAUGCAAGAGCUGAUUGUUUAAAGAGGCUGGCACCUCCUCCUCCCUCUCUUGCCACGUGAGACCCCGCUGCCCCUUGGCCUUCUGCCAUGAUUGAAAGCUUCCUGAGGCCCCACUGGAAGCAGAUGCUGACACCGUUGCUUCGUGUACAGUCUGUAGAACUAUGAGACAAAUAAACUGCUUUGUAAAUACCCAGCCUCAGUAUUCCUUUAUAGCAGUGCAAAACAGACUAAUCAAAGGGGGAAGCAUUUCCAGGUAAAGAAGAUAACCAAUUAUUGUUAUUGUAAUAUCUAAAGAAACCGUAAAUUUCAAAGGUAAAAUCUAACCUUAUUCUAGUGCCCAAGGAAGUGCUGGGAAUGUUUAAAUAAGAGGGCAGCAGGGAAUGGAAGGAGCGCCUCGGAAAUGCCUACUCCAUGCCAGGCUCCCUACUACAGGCUUUACGUGUUAUCUUGUACAUCUCAGUAAGAUGAGCAGACAUGGUGCUUUUUAAAAGACGUCAUGGGAGUUUGAAAGGGGGAAGAUUGGGUAAAUGGAAAAACAGAAGUCAUGGCUUUGCAAAAGUUGAAUCAAACUGCUCCUUGGCCCGGCCCCAUCACACACACAGAUCCCCCUUGGCAUGGCCAAAAUGAGUGUGUUCAUUGGCAAAUCAGCAGCCACUCUUGGAAGCUCUGACUUCUCUGGAAGGCAGAUGACAGAAGCAGUCUAUUUUAUUCCUAUUUUAUAGAUGAGGGAACUGAGGCUCAGAAACAAACACUCAUCAUUUGAAUACAGGAGCCAUUACCGAAUCAAACCUCUCUGGAAACCGCCUGAACUCUAUGUGAUCCAGGAAGGGGAAAGACUGUGUGCUCAGUUAGAGAAAGACUAGAGAUGGUCACACCAGCUACCAUUAGUUGAGACCUUACCAGACACAGUGCUCACCACUCCACAGUCACAGACAAACAUCUCACUUAAAACUCCAAAGUGGCCGGGUGCGGUGGCUCAUGCCUGUAGUCCCAGCACGUUGGGAGGCUGAGGUGGGCGGAUUAAGAGGUCAAGAAUUUGAGACCAGCCUGGCCAACAUGGCGAAACCCCGUCUCUACUAAGAAUACAAAAAUUAGGGCUGGGCGCGGUG
This 2276-nucleotide long non-coding RNA is filed under the name Homo sapiens (human). RNAcentral describes it as "HSALNT0170137". The record is from RNAcentral. Lineage: Eukaryota; Metazoa; Chordata; Mammalia; Primates; Hominidae.